Molecule: long non-coding RNA, 391 nt
Filed under: Mytilus galloprovincialis (Mediterranean mussel)
Lineage: Eukaryota; Metazoa; Mollusca; Bivalvia; Mytilida; Mytilidae
Source: RNAcentral
UUCAUACAAGAACGCCCAAUAGUAUUCAUUUGCAACCAACAAUGUAUGUGUAGAUGUGUCAUAGUGCAGAACCUGUGGAAAAAACAGUCCAUCUUUAUAUGAUAGAAGUUGUCUGUAGCGUUGUCCAUUAGGAGAUAUGACGACCAUAUUGUGAGUAAAAAUCCCUUCUACAAACACGUGACCAUCAUUGUCAACAUAGAUACCGAGUGGUAAUUCAAAACACUAUCAUCACAGAACAUCCACAGUAUGUUACCAUGGUAAUCACAACAAGUCACUGUUUGUGUAGAACAGUUUGUCAUGGAAUGUUGUAACGUACGGAAAGGUCUUAAGUUUGUUAUUGAUUCUAAGACUUAUCAUUUGUAAUCACCAAUAAAUAACAUAUCAAACGUGC